This 1662-nucleotide long non-coding RNA is filed under the name Olea europaea subsp. europaea. Lineage: Eukaryota; Viridiplantae; Streptophyta; Magnoliopsida; Lamiales; Oleaceae. The record is from RNAcentral.
GUGACUCAACAUCUACAUACCUAUCUCCAAUGGGUCUAUUCCUAACAAUUGAAUACGAUAGAACCACAGGUAAUGCUAGUAAAGCGGAAUUACCCAUAUCCUCCAAAUUCGAUUGAGUAGUAUUCUUCAAUAGAGACCCAAAACCAAAUUCAAAAAGUACAGUACUAAACUGAAUCUCCACCAUGACACUAAAUCUGUGCUGACUUUUCCUCACAAAUUUCGUCCAACCCUGCAAGGAUGUAUAAUUGGGACCUCUUCCGCCCCUUCAAUAUAAUACGAACACCUUUCUAAGCCUUCAAGAUUCCACCUCCUCCAGAGAAUGUGACCCUUUUGAAUAAAGAAUAUUUAACGAAAUGAGAUUCUUCUUCAAGUAUGAAAUAUGUCGAACGUGAUAAAGUGUUCUACAUGUUCCAUCCACCAACUUCAAUCUGACUUUACCAAUACCAACUACCUGACAAGGUUCAUUGUUAUCCUUGACAACGACACCUUGCAUCACUAUUUCAUAUAUUUCAAAAAAAUUCCGAUUAUGACACAUAUAGAAUGCACAAACUAUAUCCAAAAUUCACUCAUCUUUAGGUUUGGAGUUCAUGUCAAAAAUUGUCAAUAGAUCUCCAUAACUCGGUAGUUCUCAACUAUGUUGGUUUUGUCUGAAGUAUUGGAUUGCUUCUCAUGAUUUGUAAUUAAAUUACUUUUGUUCUACAAUUUGUCGCAAUCCUUCUUAAUGUGUCAUUUCUUCUUAUAAUAAUAAUAAAUCUGAUUACUGAAAUUUGACCUCAAUUUACCCCGUCUAUGAUCACCAUGAACAACAAGGUCUUUCCAUCUCUGGCUUUAGAUCCAACUAGAUGUUUCAUCUUCUCUUUUAAAAACAAGGCAUCAUACGUAUUUUCAAUGGUGAGAAUCACAACUAUACAAUAUCAUGUUUCUAAAUGAAGUAAAUGAAGUGGGCAGCGAACAGUAAAGGAUUAAAGCUAAGUAUUCUUCAUAAUACUUUAUAUCUAAAGUCUUCAAAUCAGCGAUGAUCUCUUUGAAUAUAGCCAGAUGAUCUUCCAAAAUCCACUUUCUGCCAUAUGAUGAGAAUACAACUUCUGCCUCAGAUACAAUUUGCUUAUCAAACUUUUAGUCAUGCACAAUUGUGUUAACUUCAACCACAAUGCAACUACUGUUUUCUUAUUCAAAACGUCCUGAAAAAUAUUGUUGAAGAGAUGAAGAUGGAUCUAUGAAGUGCCUUCUGAUCCUUUCAUCAUCCAAGUUGUGGGCAUUCUGUUAAAUCCCAACAACGCAUUAUCCAAAUUCAUUUGCACGAGUACAGCUUACAUCUUUACUUGCCAUAACGAAAAUAUUGUAUUGCGAUCCAAGAGCGAAAUUUCAUACUUCAUAAUUGUCACCAGUAAAAAAAAUCUAGAAAAAAUCACAACUAACAACUUUGAUAUCGCUUGUUGGGAAAUAAAAACGGAUUGAUGUAAUAUAUGAUAUGAUAUGAAGUAUGUGAUCGCAAACAAACAACAAAAUAAAAGGCAAAAAUUUAAUUGGUGUAUGAAUGGAAUAUUUUAUUCAAUUAACGAAUAUGGAGAAAAUAAAUAUAAUAACUUUUUUUUGUGCUUGCACAAUUAUUUUAUAUUUCAGUGAUAAAAAACUUGUGAAAAUAUUCUAUUAUUUAUAGAG